RNAcentral lists this unclassified non-coding RNA (339 nucleotides) under soil metagenome. RNAcentral's name for it is "partial contains 5.8S ribosomal RNA, internal transcribed spacer 2, and large subunit ribosomal RNA". The stretch from base 1 to 120 matches the Rfam family "5.8S ribosomal RNA", at positions 35 to 154 of the family's 154-position model. The record is from RNAcentral.
GAUGAAGAACGCAGCGAAAUGCGAUAAGUAAUGCGAAUUGCAGAAUUCCGUGAGUCAUCGAAUCUUUGAACGCACAUUGCGCCCUUUGGCAUUCCGAAGGGCAUGCCUGUUCGAGCGUCAUUUAUCAACCCUCAAGCCCGGCUUGCGGUUGGGUCCCGCCGUGGGCGACCACGGCGGACCCGAAAGGUAAUGGCGGUGCCCGUGGGGCCCUGGACGCAGCGAGCUUCUCGGCACGCGUCCCGGUGGUCCCCGGCGCCGUCUCCACCAAUCCACCACGCAGAUUGACCUCGGAUCAGGUAGGGAUACCCGCUGAACUUAAGCAUAUCAAUAAGCGGAGGA